GGGGUUGUAGGACCGCGACAUUGUACUGAAAUGGUGAGUGGAAGUAUCUGGAAAGUUACAUCACAGAAGGUGAUAAUCCUGUACACGAAGCCAGAUCAGGCAUAGCGGUAUCCUGAGUAACGCGGGACACGAGGAAUCCUGCGCGAAUCUGCCGGGACCAUCCGGUAAGGCUAAAUACUCCCGUGAGACCGAUAGCGAACGAGUACUGUGAAGGAAAGGUGAAAAGAACCCCGAGCAGGGGAGUGAAAUAGUUCCUGAAACCAUACGCCUACAAGCGGUCGGAGCACAGCAAUGUGUGACGGCGUGCCUUUUGCAUAAUGAUCCUACGAGUUACCGUCACUGGCGAGGUUGAGUGUCACGAGACACGUAGCCGCAGUGAAAGCGAGCCUGAACAGGGCGCACAGUCAGUGGGGGUAGACGCGAAACCAAGUGAUCUACACUUGGCCAGGAUGAAGUCCCGGUAACACGGGAUGGAGGUCCGCACCAAUAAGCGUUGAAAAGCUUCUGGAUGAGCCGAGUGUAGGAGUGAAAGGCCAAUCAAACUUGGAGAUAGCUCGUACUCCCCGAAAGGCAUUUAGGUGCCGCGUCGGAUGGUCACCGUGAGAGGUAGAGCGACCGAUAGGACAAGAGGGCUUCACCGCCUAUCGAGUCCUGACGAACUCCGAAUGCUCACGGUCUGCAGUCCGGCAGUAAGGGGGCGGGUGCUAAGGUCCGUCCCCGAGAGGAGAAGAAUCCAGACCGCCGUCUAAGGUCCCGGAGUUCUGCCUGAGUUAGUCUAACGAAGUCUGGUCCCUAUGACAGCUAGGAUGUUGGCUUGGAAGCAGCCAUUCAUUCAAAGAGUGCGUAACAGCUCACUAGUCGAGGGUCCGGGCAUGGAUAAUAAUCGGGUAUAAGGCAGACACCGAAGGCGCGGGAUAGCAAUUUUAAAAGUAUCGGUAGGGGAGCAUACUCACAGCGUCGAAUGGUGUACGUAAGUUAUCCUGGAGCGGUGAGUAAAGCAAAUGUAGGAAUAAGUAACGAUAAGGAGGGUUAGAUUCCCUCCCGCUGUAAGACCAAGGUUUCCCGGGCAAUGCCAAUCAGCCCGGGGUCAGUCGGGUCCUAAGUCUAAGCCGAACGGCGAUGGCGAUGGCAGAGACGGUUAAUAUUCCGUCACUGCCGCAUGGGGCGACGUGGAGACGGAGCAGUGAAACCACCGCGGGGCGACGGAAGUCCCCGUUGAAGGGUGUAGGCGUUGAGGAUGGCAGGCAAAUCCACCAUCCGAGCUGAACCUGACAGUACGGAGUCCUCCUCGGAGGAAUCUGAUAGUGUGGGUAAUCAUACUCCCGAGAAAAUCCGCUAAGCUUAACCCAUGCGGCACCCGUACCGCAAACGGACACACGUGGUCGGGUAGAACAUACUAAGGCGUUGAGAGAUUCAUGGUUAAGGAACUAGGCAAAUUGACCCUGUAACUUCGGGAUAAAGGGUCCUCGUGAUGAGCGAGGCGCAGAGAAUAGGUCCAGGCAACUGUUUAACAAAAACACAGGGCUGUGCAAACUCGAAAGAUGACGUAUACAGCCUGACACCUGCCCGGUGCCGGAAGGUUAAGAGGAGAUGUCACUCGCAAUAGGAAGCAUUGAAUUGAAGCCCCGGUAAACGGCGGCCGUAACUAUAACGGUCCUAAGGUAGCGAAAUUCCUUGUCGGGUAAGUUCCGACCUGCACGAAUGGUGUAAUGAUCCGGACGCUGUCUCAACCAUGAGCUCAGUGAAAUUGUAGUAUCGGUGAAGAUGCCGAUUACCCGCGAUGGGACGAAAAGACCCCGUGAACCUUUACUACAGCUUAGCAUUGACCUUGGUCAUCCGAUGUGUAGGAUAGGCCGGAGGCUUUGAAGCGGGAGCGCCAGCUUUCGUGGAGCCAUCCUUGAAAUACGGCCCUUUGGCUGUCUGAGGUCUAACGCGUGAUUACGCGGACACUGCUUGGUGGGUAGUUUGACUGGGGUGGUCGCCUCCAAAAGCGUAACGGAGGCUUCCAAAGGUGCCCUCGGGUCGAUUGGUAACCGACCUCAAAGAGUGCAAUGGCAUAAGGGCGCUUGACUGGGAGGCAGACAUGCCGAGCAGGCAGGAAACUGGGGCAUAGUGAUCCGGCGGAUGUGUAUGGAAACUCCGUCGCUCAAAGGAUAAAAGGUACUCCGGGGAUAACAGGCUGAUCCCCCCCAAGAGCUCAUAUCGACGGGGUGGUUUGGCACCUCGAUGUCGGCUCGUCACAUCCUGGGGCUGGAGAAGGUCCCA
This 2265-nucleotide ribosomal RNA is filed under the name human gut metagenome. Its description in RNAcentral is "bacterial LSU rRNA". It matches the Rfam family "Bacterial large subunit ribosomal RNA", at positions 294 to 2567 of the family's 2925-position model. The record is from RNAcentral.